Molecule: ribosomal RNA, 1059 nt
Filed under: uncultured Cryobacterium sp.
Lineage: Bacteria; Bacillati; Actinomycetota; Actinomycetes; Micrococcales; Microbacteriaceae
Description: bacterial SSU rRNA
Rfam family: Bacterial small subunit ribosomal RNA
Source: RNAcentral
UCCUACGGGAGGCAGCAGUGGGGAAUAUUGCACAAUGGGCGCAAGCCUGAUGCAGCAACGCCGCGUGAGGGACGAAGGCCUUCGGGUUGUAAACCUCUUUUAGUAGGGAAGAAGCGACUGGGUUUUCCUGGGAGUGACGGUACCUGCAGAAAAAGCACCGGCUAACUACGUGCCAGCAGCCGCGGUAAUACGUAGGGUGCAAGCGUUGUCCGGAAUUAUUGGGCGUAAAGAGCUCGUAGGCGGUUUGUCGCGUCUGCUGUGAAAACCCGAGGCUCAACCUCGGGCCUGCAGUGGGUACGGGCAGACUAGAGUGCGGUAGGGGAGAUUGGAAUUCCUGGUGUAGCGGUGGAAUGCGCAGAUAUCAGGAGGAACACCAAUGGCGAAGGCAGAUCUCUGGGCCGUAACUGACGCUGAGGAGCGAAAGCAUGGGGAGCGAACAGGAUUAGAUACCCUGGUAGUCCAUGCCGUAAACGUUGGGAACUAGAUGUGGGGACCAUUCCACGGUCUCCGUGUCGCAGCUAACGCAUUAAGUUCCCCGCCUGGGGAGUACGGCCGCAAGGCUAAAACUCAAAGGAAUUGACGGGGGCCCGCGCAAGCGGCGGAGCAUGCGGAUUAAUUCGAUGCAACGCGAAGAACCUUACCAAGGCUUGACAUAUACCGGAAACGGCUGGAAACAGUCGCCCCGCAAGGUCGGUAUACAGGUGGUGCAUGGUUGUCGUCAGCUCGUGUCGUGAGAUGUUGGGUUAAGUCCCGCAACGAGCGCAACCCUCGUCCUAUGUUGCCAGCACGUAAUGGUGGGAACUCAUGGGAUACUGCCGGGGUCAACUCGGAGGAAGGUGGGGAUGACGUCAAAUCAUCAUGCCCCUUAUGUCUUGGGCUUCACGCAUGCUACAAUGGCCGGUACAAAGGGCUGCGAUACCGCAAGGUGGAGCGAAUCCCAAAAAGCCGGUCUCAGUUCGGAUUGAGGUCUGCAACUCGACCUCAUGAAGUCGGAGUCGCUAGUAAUCGCAGAUCAGCAACGCUGCGGUGAAUACGUUCCCGGGCCUUGUACACACCGCC